CUUAGAAACAUCAUUGAGUGCAGCGUUGAUGACAUAUUUGAGAAUUCCCCUUUCUCGGUUUUUUUCAUCUACGCUGCACUCAAUCAUGUUUUUA
Capsicum annuum is the source of this 94-nucleotide non-coding RNA. Lineage: Eukaryota; Viridiplantae; Streptophyta; Magnoliopsida; Solanales; Solanaceae. The record is from Rfam.